UCCCGGAGUAGCAUAAAGGUGACUUCUCACGACCAAGACCUCCCAUAUGCCACUUAGCAUCCCGUUCGGUUCGGCAAAAAGUUUUACAUCCGUGUACACGCUCUGCAUCUUUCUUUAUCGCGGUGAUAAAAUGCCUUGUCUCUUUUAAUCGCGAUGAGGACACAGUAGAUGCGCGACUGAGACGAGUACCGGUAAUACUCUUAAUAAUUGUGUUGUGGUCACUUUUUAAAAUCAAAUUAGUUGUCACGAUAAUAAACAACGUCAAUUUGACAGAGUGAUCGAGCGCAUAGUUACUUUUUUCACGGGUGAAUCUUUGCUUCGACAGCGAUGGUGAGAGGCGUUCUGUUCUGUUUACUAGUGUUGUUGUACACACUGACGUUUCUGAGCGACAGUAACGCAUAUCCGAGGUCGGACUUCCUAGAAAACGGAGAUGGUUUUGAGCAAGAAAUCGAAGAUCCAUUACAACCUUUUGACUGGCUAGAUGAAGAGAAUGACAAUUUCAAAUCCCAACGAGAAGAGGUUCUGCAAAAGAUGCAAGAGAUUUUCGGUAUUCAUAGCCAGAGCGACAAUUUGGCACAUCGCAAAGUGCCACCGCAAUUCAUGAUGGAGCUUUACAACACCAUCGCCGAUCCCAAUGGGGUUACGCGAGGCCGAAAUCUUUAUAACGCCAAGGUUGUUCGCAGUUUCGUUGAGAAGGAUCAUUUUUUCAAUAUCACAUCGUCGCUAUUUUAUUACUUCAAUGUCUCGAGAUUGGAAAUAAACGAGUCAGUGCUAGAAGCUGAGUUACAUCUCUAUCGAAAAAAAACACCUUCGAAGAACUUGGCGUCGCCUUAUUAUCUGAUUAGAGUUUAUCAGGUUCUGAACGAUCGCAGCUUCGAUAUGCCAGAUCUUCACAGACUGCUGAAUGUUUGUUACGUCAGCGCGCACGUUUCUGGCUGGCAGGUGUUCAACGUAAAGCAAGCCGUUCUUGGGUGGGUAAGCGGCGAACCGAAUCUAGGACUUCUGGUAACGGUUCAAGAUCUGUUUGAGGACGAAGUAUCAGUAGAGUUUUCACGUCGGAAUGAGUACUAUCUCGGCAAACAGCCAAUAUUAGUGCUCUUCAACGACGAUCGCAAUCUUGCCGUGGAUUACAUCGCGCCUCAUUAUUAUGUUUAUGAGAACCGAAACGAUGAAGAAAACGCGGAAAAAAACGCGAAGAGCGAAAAGAUUGAUUUGAAGAAUAAGUAUGAUAACGUCGAGUAUCAUAGAAAAUACAAGAAGCAUCAUAAAGAUGGUCAGCUAGAAAGAAUCAAACUGGUCAACAGACGCAAACCGGAAUUCUUCGAACGACAGAAAAAAAUACUUACAGAAGAAAACGACGAUCUUCAAGAAUUGCAUGAAACUUCGAUAUUUGGCACAGUGACAAAACGACGUCGUGGUCACCGCGACGUCACAUCGUCUAGAAAGCGCUUUGCCAAGAUCGUGUCACAUGAUGACGCGAAGAUUACACAAGUGUUGACGUCGAUGGACAUCUACGAGAGAGCGGCAUUUCGCGAGAGGCUAGGCCUGAUAGUACGAGAUCGCUCGUUAAAACGAUCGAUUGCUCAAAAGCAACGAUAUCGAUUGCCUCGAUCAGUGGGCAGUCAUAACAUAAUAGGGGCGAGACAAGCUGAGAUGAAUAAGACAAACGAUUGCACGAGACACGAGCUCUACGUAAAUUUUCGCAACAUCGGGUUGUCGUCAUCGAUAAUUGCACCGCCCGGUUAUUCAGCUUAUCAAUGCAAAGGUGUGUGCGAGCCACCUCUUAGUCAGGAUCAACGGCCAACGAAUCACGCCACAAUCCAAGCGAUUGUGCACAAGCUAGGUCUUGUUGAAGGCGUUCAGAGACCCUGCUGUGUGCCGACUAAGCUACUGAGAACCAGCAUUCUCUUUUACGACAACAACGAGAACGUCGUGCUCAAGAUGUACGACGACAUGAUCGUUGACAGUUGCGGAUGUCGUUAAACAACCUCUUGCGUGUCAGAGUAAAGAGAACUUCCGUUUGCGACACUAAGAGGUUUUGAGGAAAAUUGUAUUCAUUAUGAUUAUAUAUGCUGCGACAAGAAAAAGAUGUCAGAGAGAAAGAAAGAUAGAUAGAUAGAUAGAUAGGUAAGUAGAUAGAUAGAUAGAUGCUUUAUUUAUCAAGUGUUCCGGGAAAAAUUCCUCUUAAGCGCAAUAUUACAAUUCUUUAAGGAUACAAGAUUAAAGUGAAUCUUCUUAAGGAUAAAAGUAAGUGAGUAUCAGAAAAUAUACAAAAAAGAAUAAAAUAAAAUAAAAUCUGAAUAAAAUAAAAUAAAAAUAUAAAAUAUAAGGAAAAUCAAAAUUAAUCAAUCGAAAAAAUUAAUAUAAAGCAACGAAACAAUGAUAGCAGUAUACAAAAAUAGAAAUAUACACGCAAAUAGAAAAAGUAAUACAAAAUGAUGCAAAAUAAGUGUAACAGGAAACAGAUUAAUAAAAGAAAGCAGUAACAAAAAUUAAUCAAAUUAUACAUUAUCCGCAUAAAGCAAUUCGUAUAAUUUCUUUUUAAAUUCAAAGAAUAGUCUAUUACGGACAUCCACUGGAAUACUAUUCCAUAGAUCCACUGAGACACAUCUGAAAGACCGUCUGAAUAGUUCAGUGCGACAUAAAGAAAGAAAGAAUAAGGUCAUCAUCCUCAGCACGAGUGCCACGCUGCACAACUGAAUGUCUAAAUUCAUAUGUAUUAAAUAAAAUCUUAGGUCGCUGUGAUUUCAAAAAUUUAAAGAGCAAGCAGCUGAUGAGGAACAUCCUCCGAGAUUUUACUUUGAGCCAUUUUAAUUUUUCAUAAGACGGUGUAACGUGCUCAAACCAUUUAAUUUGAAAAAUAAACCUAAUACAUCUAUUGAAUGCUCUUUGCAGUCGUAGGUUAUCCUUUUCAGUUAUAUCCGUCAUAAGUGUACAACAAUAGUCCAGAAACGGAGAGAUAAGUGGCGUGACCAAUCUCGCACAAAGUUCAGACAAGAAAAGAUAUUUGUAAAUCUUCAGCUGAUGCAACAAAGCAUUUAUAUUCGAGAUAACAAUAGAAAGGUGAACAUCCCAUGAUAGAGUGUCAGUCAAAAUGACAUCUAGAUAUGAGACAAAUCUCUUGAAGGGGAUAUUAGCAUUGUUAACAAUAAUUUGAGGCAUGGAAGUCCAUUCUGAGAUGUCCAGCCUACAACACUUCGGAUGUCAGCAUUAACUUUAGAUAUGGCCAAGGUUCGGUAGUGUCUAGUUAAAAAGAUAAAAGUUAAGUUAAAAAGUUAAAAAGUUAAAUAAUUUUAA
Pseudomyrmex gracilis is the source of this 3297-nucleotide RNA transcript. RefSeq lists it as uncharacterized. The record is from RefSeq and is a predicted model, not a curated record. The transcript has 6 exons. Lineage: Eukaryota; Metazoa; Arthropoda; Insecta; Hymenoptera; Formicidae.